RNAcentral lists this ribosomal RNA (253 nucleotides) under uncultured bacterium. RNAcentral describes it as "partial 16S ribosomal RNA". It matches the Rfam family "Bacterial small subunit ribosomal RNA", at positions 524 to 776 of the family's 1533-position model. The record is from RNAcentral.
UACGGGGGGGGCAAGCGUUGUUCGGAAUUACUGGGCGUAAAGGGCUCGUAGGCGGCCAACUAAGUCAUACGUGAAAUCCCUCGGCUUAACCGGGGAACUGCGUCUGAUACUGGAUGGCUUGAGUUCGGGAGAGGGAUGCGGAAUUCCAGGUGUAGCGGUGAAAUGCGUAGAUAUCUGGAGGAACACCUGUGGCGAAAGCGGCGCACUGGACCACAACUGACGCUGAGACGCGAAAGCGUGGGGAGCAAACAGG